Molecule: ribosomal RNA, 494 nt
Filed under: uncultured bacterium
Lineage: Bacteria
Description: bacterial SSU rRNA
Rfam family: Bacterial small subunit ribosomal RNA
Source: RNAcentral
AAAGGAAUUGACGGGGGCCCGCACAAGCGGAGGAGCAUGUGGCUUAAUUCGAUGCAACGCGAAGAACCUUACCUGGGCUUGACAUGCAGCUGCACGGCCGGUGAAAGCCGGCCCCCUUCGAGGGUGCUGCACAGGUGCUGCAUGGCUGUCGUCAGUUCGUGCCGUGAGGUGUUUGGUUAAGUCCACCAACGAACGCAACCCCUGCGUCCAGUUGCCAUCGGGUCGUGCCGGGAACUCUGGACGGACCGCCCCUUCAAACGGGAGGAAGGUGGGGACGACGUCAAGUCAGUAUGGCCCUUACGCCCAGGGCCGCACACGUGCUACAAUGGCCGGCACAGAGGGACGCGAGACCGCGAGGUGGAGCAAACCCCCAAAACCGGCCCCAGUUCGGAUUGGAGUCUGCAACCCGACUCCAUGAAGUUGGAUUCGCUAGUAACGGCGCAUCAGCAAGUGGCGCCGUGAAUACGUUCCCGGGCCUUGUACACACCGCCCGU